CCGCAUACAAGUCUGUUGGAAUACAGCGUCAUAGGUGGUGACAACCCCGUACAUGAUGCGGAUGCCUAGUGCUCUGUGAUACACUUUCGAAGAGUCGAGUUGUUUGGGAAUGCAGCUCAAAUUGGGUGGUAAAUUCCAUCUAAAGCUAAAUAUUGGCGAGAGACCGAUAGCGAACAAGUACCGUGAGGGAAAGAUGAAAAGCACUUUGGAAAGAGAGUUAAAAGUACGUGAAAUUGUUGAAAGGGAAACGCUUGAAGUCAGACUUGCGUACUGGAGUUCAGCCGUAAGGUGUAUUCUUCAGUUUGCAGGCCA
Molecule: ribosomal RNA, 312 nt
Filed under: Cystobasidium pallidum
Lineage: Eukaryota; Fungi; Basidiomycota; Cystobasidiomycetes; Cystobasidiales; Cystobasidiaceae
Description: partial large subunit ribosomal RNA
Rfam family: Eukaryotic large subunit ribosomal RNA
Source: RNAcentral